This 758-nucleotide transfer RNA is filed under the name Sphingomonas paucimobilis. The stretch from base 176 to 249 matches the Rfam family "tRNA". The record is from RNAcentral. Lineage: Bacteria; Pseudomonadati; Pseudomonadota; Alphaproteobacteria; Sphingomonadales; Sphingomonadaceae.
CUAAGGACAAGCGGCGGAGUGCGCUUCGGUCUCGUACCGGAGAAGAGCUUCCUCCCUAUCCAAAGACAUUCCAAUCCGCCGUCCUCAUGUCCCUUCAUCCUAGGUUACUCCCCUGACGGGGAGUAUAGCUUGAGCUGGCUUACCGCCUCGCGGCCUUAUGGCCGGUGAGUGCAGGGGGCCGGUAGCUCAGGUGGUUAGAGCGCACGCCUGAUAAGCGUGAGGUCGUAGGUUCAACUCCUACUCGGCCCACCACUGCGCAGGCAGCGAGACGAAAUAGCGUGAGCUAUUUUGCACGCAGCCCAGCACGGCCAGCGCUGGCAUAGCGCGCCAUAAGGCGCAGCUUUGCUGCGACUGACGGCGUGCGGAGAGUGAGGGGCUUUAGCUCAGCUGGGAGAGCGGUUGCUUUGCAAGCAUCAGGUCAUCGGUUCGAUCCCGAUAAGCUCCACCACUCUUCCAAGCCAUAACCUAGAGAUGAAGACACCAGUUCCGCUGCUGACGCAGCGGUUACGAGGUGCUACGAGCACCUCAUCUUUGACAUUGUGAAUGGGUUUUUAAAAUCGAUGCCGUGAAGGUGUCGGCUUUGAAAGUAGAGCGAAGGCGGCAACGCCCAAGCGACACGGACAGGCUGGCAAUUCACAAUAUCUGGCUGAGUAUUUAAUGACCACACCAAUUAGCCACAUCGCGCUGCUCUGCCGAGUCGAUGUCCUUCGGGGCGUCCAGCGUUGAUGGUGGUGGUGUGGGCUCUCAAGCGUGAGGUA